Molecule: non-coding RNA, 74 nt
Organism: Polyrhizophydium stewartii
Lineage: Eukaryota; Fungi; Chytridiomycota; Chytridiomycetes; Rhizophydiales
Source: the annotation of a GenBank genome assembly
AAGGGUGUAGCCAAAUCGGUAACGGCACUUGGUUUUGGACCAAGCAUGUGUAGGUUCGAGUCCUACCACCCCUG